AGAGUUUGAUCAUGGCUCAGGAUGAACGCUAGCGAUAGGCCUAACACAUGCAAGUCGAGGGGCAUCACAAAGAGUAGCAAUACUUUUGGUGGCGACCGGCGGAUGGGUGAGUAACACGUAUGCAACCUACCUUCUACAUUGGGAUAACCCGUUGAAAGACGGACUAAUACCGAAUAAUACAGGGGCGCCACAUGGUGAUAUUUGUUAAAGUUUCGAGCAAUCGAUUCGGUAGAAGAUGGGCAUGCGUAUGAUUAGCUAGUUGGUGAGGUAACGGCUCACCAAGGCAACGAUCAUUAGGGGUUCUGAGAGGAAGGUCCCCCACACUGGUACUGAGACACGGACCAGACUCCUACGGGAGGCAGCAGUGAGGAAUAUUGGUCAAUGGGCGCGAGCCUGAACCAGCCAAGUCGCGUGAAGGAAGACUGUCCUAUGGAUUGUAAACUUCUUUUGUACAGGAAUAAAGUGUUCUACGUGUAGGAUUUUGCAUGUACUGUACGAAUAAGGAUCGGCUAACUCCGUGCCAGCAGCCGCGGUAAUACGGAGGAUCCGAGCGUUAUCCGGAUUUAUUGGGUUUAAAGGGUGCGUAGGUGGACUGAUAAGUCAGUGGUGAAAGUUUGCAGCUUAACUGUAAAAUUGCCGUUGAAACUGUUGGUCUUGAGUGCAAAUGAGGUAGGCGGAAUGUGUUGUGUAGCGGUGAAAUGCUUAGAUAUAACACAGAACACCGAUUGCGAAGGCAGCUUACUGGGAUGCAACUGACACUGAUGCACGAAGGCGUGGGGAUCAAACAGGAUUAGAUACCCCGGUAGU
RNAcentral lists this ribosomal RNA (807 nucleotides) under uncultured bacterium. RNAcentral describes it as "bacterial SSU rRNA". It matches the Rfam family "Bacterial small subunit ribosomal RNA", at positions 8 to 794 of the family's 1533-position model. The record is from RNAcentral.